RNAcentral lists this ribosomal RNA (911 nucleotides) under Metarhizium anisopliae. RNAcentral describes it as "LSU rRNA". It matches the Rfam family "Eukaryotic large subunit ribosomal RNA", at positions 38 to 967 of the family's 3401-position model. Lineage: Eukaryota; Fungi; Ascomycota; Sordariomycetes; Hypocreales; Clavicipitaceae. The record is from RNAcentral.
GCAUAUCACUAAGCGGAGGAAAAGAAACCAACAGGGAUUGCCCAGUAACGGCGAGUGAAGCGGCAACAGCUCAAAUUUGAAAUCUGGUCCCCCAGGGCCCGAGUUGUAAUUUGCAGAGGAUGCUUUUGGUGAGGUGCCUUCCGAGUUCCCUGGAACGGGACGCCAUAGAGGGUGAGAGCCCCGUCUGGUUGGAUACCGAGCCUCUGUAAAGCUCCUUCGACGAGUCGAGUAGUUUGGGAAUGCUGCUCUAAAUGGGAGGUAUAUGUCUUCUAAAGCUAAAUAUUGGCCAGAGACCGAUAGCGCACAAGUAGAGUGAUCGAAAGAUGAAAAGCACUUUGAAAAGAGGGUUAAAUAGUACGUGAAAUUGUUGAAAGGGAAGCACUUAUGACCAGACUUGGCCCCGGUGAAUCAUCCAGCGGUUCCCGUUGGUGCACUUUGCCGGGGUUCAGGCCAGCAUCAGUUCGCUCCGGGGGAUAAAGGCUUUGGGAAUGUGGCUCCCUCGGGAGUGUUAUAGCCCAUUGCGCAAUACCCUGUGGCGGGCUGAGGUUCGCGCUUUAUGCAAGGAUGCUGGCAUAAUGGUCAUCAGUGACCCGUCUUGAAACACGGACCAAGGAGUCGUCUUCGUAUGCGAGUGUUCGGGUGUUAAACCCCUACGCGUAAUGAAAGUGAACGCAGGUGAGAGCCCUCCAGGGCGCAUCAUCGACCGAUCCUGAUGUUCUCGGAUGGAUUUGAGUAAGAGCAUACGGGGCCGGACCCGAAAGAAGGUGAACUAUGCCUGUAUAGGGUGAAGCCAGAGGAAACUCUGGUGGAGGCUCGCAGCGGUUUCUGACGUGCAAAUCGAUCGUCAAAUAUGGUCAUGGGGCGAAAGACUAAUCGAACCUUUCUAGUAGGCAGGGAUAUACAGCCGAAGU